UACGUAUGGGGCUAGCGUUGUCCGGAAUCAUUGGGCGUAAAGCGCGUGUAGGCGGUCCGGUAAGUCCGCUGUGAAAGUCGGGGGCUCAACCCUCGAAAGCCGGUGGAAACUGUCGGGCUAGAGUGCGGAAGAGGCGAGUGGAAUUCCUGGUGUAGCGGUGAAAUGCGCAGAUAUCAGGAGGAACACCAAUUGCGAAGGCAGCUCGCUGGGACGUUACUGACGCUGAGACGCGAAAGCGUGGGGAGCAAACAGG
Molecule: ribosomal RNA, 253 nt
Filed under: uncultured bacterium
Lineage: Bacteria
Description: partial 16S ribosomal RNA
Rfam family: Bacterial small subunit ribosomal RNA
Source: RNAcentral